RNAcentral lists this unclassified non-coding RNA (840 nucleotides) under Hevea brasiliensis (rubber tree). Lineage: Eukaryota; Viridiplantae; Streptophyta; Magnoliopsida; Malpighiales; Euphorbiaceae. The record is from RNAcentral.
AUUUUCUUAGAGAGAGAUUUCUCUCUCCUGUUUCUUGUCUGUCUGCGCCUGAGGCUUUUCUUGUUGCCAUUCAAGCAGUUUCUUUUGCCCCUACGGGCAGGGUAAGCUCUCUUCCGGCCCGGUUGUUGGUUUGACUCUCCUCCCACUAGGUGGUUGUAAAUAUGUCUUUUUUGUAUUCUUCUAGCAGAUUGAGCUUUAAUGAGUGAGAGUCUUUUAUGGAUUUGCCUUGAUUUUGCUACUUCACUUUGCAUGCAAGUGCUGCUCUUCCCCUGGGCUGAAAUCACAGGUGAUGCUUCUAGUUAAAUCUUGGUGACCUAGCCUGUUUCAUAUAGCCAACAAGGUUAUUUGCUUAAGGUAGUCGCCUUUUUAGCUAAUGGUAUCCUUUGAGAUUUAUAGCCGAACUAAGUCCAUUUAAGGCUGAAUCUUAAGGUUGGUUGCCAAAAAAGCUCUGCCAUCAACUCUUCAAUGGAAUGUCCGGUCUGGCUUGCGAUGUUUUCAGUUCCCAUUAUUUACGCUUUCCUUAGGUUCUUUUGGUUACCUAGUUUGAUGGGUUGAACGCUAUUGACUUAGUUUGUGUUUCUUCUUCUAGCGUCGGUGAGGUGGUCUUGUCUUUGUAUGGAGGAUAUAUAUUGUGCAGCUUUUUCUCCAAGAGCAGCGCUGCUUGCCUCUUGCUUCAGUCAGGUCGAUGCCUUUACUGGUCCGCUAUCUAGGUCUAAAGACCUAGGGUUCCUAUUGUUGGAUUUGGGCUUUAGUGUUAUCUGAGUUGAGUCUUUUCUUUGUAAACUGUAAUUGGGCUUCUUUAUUUUAAUCAUGGGCCUAGCCUUGUAUUUUUCUCAGCCC